GUCCAAAAGUCAAUGAAAGAUGGAAUAGAGAUCACCAAGCCCACUGCUGCACCCCAUUGCUGGCCACAUCCAUGCAAUGCUGCUCCUGCAUUGGCCCCAGUGCCCUGGUAGGCAGCUUGGAGGGAUGAAACAGACAGAGAUUCUCCUUGGAAGGAUGACGAAGCCAAGCUCUUGAAGAUUCUUAUUAAGGCUUGUUAGGAGAGGCAAGAGACUUUUUGAAAUAGCAGCUUCUAAGAAAAUAAAACAUCUGGCAGACAGAUGUGCUGCUUCAGAGCUGUUUAGUGCCCAGACCCACGACUUCCAAAGGAAAGACAGAAAGGGUGGCCCAGAGAGAAGAACCAG
Long non-coding RNA from Vidua chalybeata, 342 nucleotides. RefSeq lists it as uncharacterized. Lineage: Eukaryota; Metazoa; Chordata; Aves; Passeriformes; Viduidae. The record is from RefSeq and is a predicted model, not a curated record. The transcript is spliced from 3 exons.